UUUGGCCAAUUUUAUGACUAGUUUUUAUCCUCAUCAUGAAAUUCAUUUAAUUAGUGGCUUGAUUUUAUGAAUGAGCAUGUUGUCGUGAGCAAAUUGUUAGUCUCUAAAGAAAUUGACGUAAUGCCGUUUCACGCAUGUUAAGAGCCCUAGUUCGGUCUUAAUGUGUGUGUGAUGAGAAUGUGAAUGCCCUAGCCCGGAUUUACAUUAUUUUUGUACUAUGAGAAUGUGAAUGCCUUAGUCCGGAUUUGCACUAUCACUCUAAGGCCCUAGUCCGGCUUAGAGUUAGGGAUUGCGCCAUUUCCCUUUUGUUGUGUGCCAAAAUUGUGUUGUUACGGUAAAUGAUUGCUAGAGUGGAUGCCUUAGUACCCAAAUUUUGUCAACCGUUUUCCAAACCUUUAAAUUUCUAGCACUUUACUUUUUGCAAAUUUUAAUUUCCUAGUUUUUAAUUUGCAAAACCAAAAAUUAAUUCCCCCAAAUAUUUGCUCACAUUUUUCAUUGUAAGUACCAUAAGGCCUUGAGCCUACCAAUUUAUUUUGGUGAGUUCUUGGCUACUUUUUGGCUUCGGGAGACCUAAGCCGUGCAUGUCAAGUGACUUUUGUGACCCAUAAACCAUUGGAUUUGAGUUAGCUCAAGAUCCCCGAGGUACGAUAUUUCCGGGUUUAAAUAUUUCCCAAUUCUUUGAUGACCGUGUCCUUGUUGCGCGUAAGUUGCAUUUUAGGCAUC
RNAcentral lists this long non-coding RNA (723 nucleotides) under Rosa chinensis. Its description in RNAcentral is "sRNA RchiOBHm_Chr2g0154901". Lineage: Eukaryota; Viridiplantae; Streptophyta; Magnoliopsida; Rosales; Rosaceae. The record is from RNAcentral.